GUAGGUGAACCUGCGGAAGGAUCAUUAGCACGUGAGUUUUCACGUAUUAACCAAACGCGCAAUGUUUUUUACCUGCUGUCGUUUUAAGUGAUGGGUGAGGGAAUGGUGUGAGGAGCUUUGCUUCUCUAACUUACUCGUCUGGUUGUCCUCGAGACAACGCUUAAGCGGCUGCAGCGUACGAAUUUCUUCUGUUAGCCUGCACCUUGGCUUGCAGUUGGAGUAACACUAUUAACCACUUCUUUUUUAAACU
Molecule: unclassified non-coding RNA, 250 nt
Filed under: plant metagenome
Description: partial contains small subunit ribosomal RNA, internal transcribed spacer 1, and 5.8S ribosomal RNA
Source: RNAcentral